GACGAACGCUGGCGGCGUGCUUAACACAUGCAAGUCGAACGGUGAAGCGCCUUCCUUUUUGGUGGGUGUGGAUGAGUGGCGAACGGGUGAGUAACACGUGAGUAACCUGCCCCCUUCUUCUGGAUAACCGCAUGAAAGUGUGGCUAAUACGGGAUAUUCUGGGUCUGUCGCAUGAUGGGUCUGGGAAAGAUAUUGUUUCGGUGGGGGAUGGGCUCGCGGCCUAUCAGCUUGUUGGGGGGGUGGUGGCCCACCAAGGCGGUGGCGGGGAGCCGGCCUGGGAGGGUUGACGGUCAGACGGGGACUGGGACACGGCCCAGACUCCUAAGGGAGGCAGCAGUGGGGAAUAUUGCACAAUGGGCGCAAGCCUGAUGCAGCGACGCCGCGUGAGGGAUGGAGGCCUUCGGGUUGUGAACCUCUUUCGCCAGUGAAGCAGGCCUGCCCCGUUUGUGGGUGGGUUGACGGUAGCUGGAUAAGAAGCGCCGGCUAACUACGUG
Molecule: ribosomal RNA, 494 nt
Filed under: uncultured bacterium
Lineage: Bacteria
Description: partial 16S ribosomal RNA
Rfam family: Bacterial small subunit ribosomal RNA
Source: RNAcentral